UUUGGGAAGUGCUGCCAAAAGACUCAAACAGAGGCGCCAGCUCUGCAGAAUCGAUUAUUUAUUUGCACGUCAGUCUGAUCCCAAA
This 85-nucleotide small nucleolar RNA is filed under the name Lupinus angustifolius (narrow-leaved blue lupine). RNAcentral's name for it is "Small nucleolar RNA Z122". It matches the Rfam family "Small nucleolar RNA Z122". From Rfam's summary of the family: Z122 is a member of the C/D class of snoRNA which contain the C (UGAUGA) and D (CUGA) box motifs. The record is from Rfam by way of RNAcentral. Lineage: Eukaryota; Viridiplantae; Streptophyta; Magnoliopsida; Fabales; Fabaceae.